This 496-nucleotide ribosomal RNA is filed under the name uncultured bacterium. RNAcentral describes it as "bacterial SSU rRNA". It matches the Rfam family "Bacterial small subunit ribosomal RNA", at positions 28 to 502 of the family's 1533-position model. The record is from RNAcentral.
GACGAACGCUGGCGGCGUGCCUAAUACAUGCAAGUCGAGCGGGGAUUAUGCUUGAUCGCUUCGGUGAGACGGCAUAUAUCCUAGCGGCGGACGGGUGAGUAACGCGUGGGUAAUCUACCUCGUAGUUCGGGAUAACAGGCCGAAAGGCUUGCUAAUACCGGAUGAGUUCAUGCUUAUGCAUAUAGGCAUGAAGAAAGGGCUAGCCCGCUAUGAGAUGAGCCCGCGUCCCAUUAGCUUGUUGGUGGGGUAAUGGCCUACCAAGGCAACGAUGGGUAGCCGGCCUGAGAGGGUGUACGGCCACACUGGGACUGAGACACGGCCCAGACUCCUACGGGGGCAGCAGUAGGGAAUUUUCGGCAAUGGGCGAAAGCCUGACCGAGCGACGCCGCGUGAGUGAAGAAGGCCUUCGGGUGUAAGCUCUUUCAGUCGAGAAGAAAGGUUAGUAGACUAAUAAUACAUAACUCAUGACGGUAUCGACAGAAGAAGACACCGGACC